RNAcentral lists this unclassified non-coding RNA (240 nucleotides) under soil metagenome. RNAcentral's name for it is "partial contains 5.8S ribosomal RNA, internal transcribed spacer 2, and large subunit ribosomal RNA". The record is from RNAcentral.
AACCAUUCUCACCUGCGGCUAGACCUGCGGAGGGAUCAUCAGUGGGAUAGUUUUAUGUUUUAGCCGUGUGAACGGUGCGGGGUGGGGUGUGGUCAGUUGGUCAGCUGGUCAGGCCUGCCUGGCCUGCCUGACCUGUGUGCACACCGCCACCCUCUGAUACUAACACCUACUACUCUAAUCACGCGCCGCGCUGGCGGCCACAAAUAUCCAGCACUAGAUACAAGCAGACAACUUUCAACA